This is a long non-coding RNA of Oreochromis aureus, 414 nucleotides long. RefSeq lists it as uncharacterized. NCBI's taxonomy places the organism in Eukaryota, Metazoa, Chordata, Actinopteri, Cichliformes, Cichlidae. The record is from RefSeq and is a predicted model, not a curated record. The transcript is spliced from 3 exons.
GCUAACACACAGGGACAGACAACCAUUCGUACUCACAUUCACUCCCAUGGGCAAUUUAGAUUAACCAAACCUGUCCUCACUACUGCAUAUUUUUGGACUGUGGGAGGAAGCCGGAAUAGCUGGAGAGAACCCACGCAAACACGGGGAGAACAUGCAAACUCCACACAGAAAGACCACGGCCUGAUGGUGGAAUUGAACUCAGGACCUUCUUGCUGUGUGGCAACAGUGCUAACCAUCGUGCUGCCCAGCCUGAGGUGUUCUUCAGUAAACUGGACUACCCGACAGAAGGACCCGAGGCCCCGCUGGACCCCGCUGGAAACGUGUUUAUAAGCUAAGUUCGUUUAGCUAAUCUGUGCAGGAGCUGCCCUCAGAUUCAGACCUCAGCCCCAUCGAGUGACAGCAGACAGAUCAUCC